UGGGGAAUCUUAGACAAUGGGCGCAAGCCUGAUCUAGCCAUGCCGCGUGAGCGAUGAAGGCCUUAGGGUUGUAAAGCUCUUUCAGAUGGGAAGAUAAUGACUGUACCAUCAGAAGAAGCCCCGGCUAACUCCGUGCCAGCAGCCGCGGUAAUACGGAGGGGGCUAGCGUUGUUCGGAAUUACUGGGCGUAAAGCGCACGUAGGCGGACUGGAAAGUCAGAGGUGAAAUCCCAGGGCUCAACCUUGGAACUGCCUUUGAAACUCCCAGUCUUGAGGUCGAGAGAGGUGAGUGGAAUUCCGAGUGUAGAGGUGAAAUUCGUAGAUAUUCGGAGGAACACCAGUGGCGAAGGCGGCUCACUGGCUCGAUACUGACGCUGAGGUGCGAAAGCGUGGGGAGCAAACA
This 402-nucleotide ribosomal RNA is filed under the name uncultured prokaryote. RNAcentral's name for it is "bacterial SSU rRNA". It matches the Rfam family "Bacterial small subunit ribosomal RNA", at positions 355 to 774 of the family's 1533-position model. The record is from RNAcentral.